This is a non-coding RNA of Dallia pectoralis (Alaska blackfish), 77 nucleotides long. NCBI's taxonomy places the organism in Eukaryota, Metazoa, Chordata, Actinopteri, Esociformes, Umbridae. The record is from the annotation of a GenBank genome assembly.
GUUGGUGUAUCUCAGUGGUGUAUCUCAGUUCAUGCUUUGUAUGUAUGUUGUCCUGGGUUCAAUCCCCAGCUUCUUCC